This is a long non-coding RNA of Oxyura jamaicensis (ruddy duck), 5345 nucleotides long. RefSeq lists it as uncharacterized. The record is from RefSeq and is a predicted model, not a curated record. The transcript is spliced from 5 exons. NCBI's taxonomy places the organism in Eukaryota, Metazoa, Chordata, Aves, Anseriformes, Anatidae.
UGGCAACAUUCAUUCCACUAAUAAGCUGGCAAUUAAUGCAAAGAGGAAUGUCCUGGAUUUCUCAAAGAGAAGUAUUUUUCAACAGGAGCCAGUCAAGAUGUUGAUGAGAUUUUGUUUCUCUUUUGUUGUUGUUGUUGUUGUUUAAAAGAAACUUUUUCUGGGAAAGGGGGCUGCUAAACUGGUGUUGUAAGUCUGCCCUCACGUGUUGGAUUUUAACUCUUCAGAAGAGAAAAAUGUAAGCUAGCUCAGUGGAAUCCACCAGAUAUAUCAUGGCAUCACCUAGACACAGGUCUUCAGGUCUUAGAUCUGCUCUUCUAUUUUUCUUUUGAGUUUUAGGUGCUGGUGGAUGCAUAGCAAUGGGUUACAUACGCUGGGAAUACACAGAGGUGCACACCAUCCAUUUGAUAGAGCAGAUAUGGGUCAUUAUCAUUCCUGCACUAAGCAGAUAAUGAAUUCAAAGGGAAUGUUACAAAAGUGUUGCUGAUAGUAUCAGUGUUAGAAUGUGUUGCAACUAUUGACUGAUAUAAAGAAGAGACAGCUGAAGGUAGGCUGAAAAACAGAAGAAUUAACAACCAGCUUUCAGUAAUUAAGGAAAAUGAUCACAGCCUCAGUAGUUUGAAAGAAAUCCUUUGUGUUUGGCUUCUUGUGAGAAGUGUUUCAGCACCCAGUUCAGUUUCUGACAAUAGGAAAUGUCCCAGGUAAUGGUAUCAUAUGGGAAAUUUCCAGUGUGAAUUAGCAUGAUACUUGUGCUUAGAUGGGACGUGAGUGGUUCUGUAGGCUCUGAAACUAAUGAAGCCAGGUUCCCUGCAGGCUUGCAUCUCCAGGCCAAUUUACUUUGGAAUCUCUGAAAGUAAAAGAUCUGCAGAAGUAUGUACUUGAAUCACUGAAAAUGUGCACUUCUCAAGGAUGCUGACCAACUCAUUAUUCUUUGUUCUGAUCCAGCUGAAAUAUUUUCAGCCUAUGGUUCAUUUCCAAACAAACGAAACCAAAAAAGCCUGAACAGAGUUGAGUCUAGAGUCUAAGUCCAAGUUAAUGAAGCUGCCUCAAAGUCAAGGAGGGAGAGAAUAAACCGCAGCUCUGAGGCACAGACCACUGGAGAUUCCUCUUUCAAAACCUGCCUGUGCCACUCACUGGAGUUAUUCGAUUUGGGAACAAGAUAAGAAUUCACAACAUCUGAUUUGUAGAAAUAACCCAGAGGAGGGGAAAACAGCCAGAAAUACUAAUUUCAGAUAUCAUUUUCAUCUGUCAGUUUCCUAAUAGUCUUUCUGAGCACUAAUAGCAUUAACCAAAUAUAAGGCUCAGACUUUGGGGAGGUUGUGCACUGACUGACAAAUGCAUUUCCAAAUAGCCCACAGUUCAGCAGUUCUUAUUCUGUCAAUACUCCAUGACCAGGGGAGGUUUGGAGCAUAAUUCUCUCCCAGUUAUUCAUCUUCUCUCUUUCUCUUCCAACCCCCCCCCCCGCCCCCCGAGUAAGAAAUACACCUGGCAAUUCAUUGCUGAUUUCCCAGGAGUGUUAUUCAUGCCAGUUUAUUUAUGUAUUUAUUAUUCAAGUGCAAACUUACAAAGUUCUUUGUGGUAAUCUGCAAAUCAAACUGAUGGAGGCAGAAGGCUGGCCUUUAAAGCAAGUACUGUAGAGGCAAAGGCAGGCACUGUGGCUGCCAAUGCACUGCAGCGCGGGACUGUGAGGAGCAAUUCAUCCUGCCUGAGGCCCAGGCCCAGGCUCUGGCCAGAGUUGGUAGACACAGGUAGUCACCAUGCUUAAAUUAAGCAAGCUCUCUGCUGUAAGUGCUUUAUUUUGGCAAAGCAACAGCUUCUGCUGUUGACUGCACAGGUGUCGUCUUCAUUCUUGAGUGCUGGUAACAUAUCGUUUGAAAGAAAUGGGUAUAUAUUUAUGCCUAACUUCUUCACACACUCAGAAUUUGGGCUUCAAAUUUACAAUGAUUAAAGCAAGGUGCAGUGUGCAAUGGCAGGGACUUUGUACCAUUUAUCCACUGCUUGCCUGGGGUGGUGGUGCAGCCAGGAAUUUUGGUGCAGCCCUUGAUGGUGACCCCCUACAACUGAAGAGGGCAACCCAAGGAAGGUUUGUGGGGUGGGUUUCUGUCCUGUGGGUAAUGGUGUGGGGGGAGAUGCCUGUUCCUCAAGCUGGACAUGUGAUGGGUGUUGCCUCCAGUGAGUGUACUCGUGCUUUCUCCAAAACAAAAGAUACUGCUCCACCUUCGAAGGUUCGGAGACACGUAUCAUCUGGUCUAGCUUAACUGUGGCACAGUUACAUGACAUUUCGUACUUAGGGCUGUCCAGCCUGCCUGUGGCUUUAUGUCUAACUCUUCCACACACUCAAAAUUUAAACUUCAAGUUUUGUGUGGAUUAAGGUUAUUUAUUAGGGUUGUGUUUUCAUAGUUUUCUCAGGAAUUUGUUCUGCAUGCCUUCACAAGGACUUAAUUGCCUUCAAUAGGCUAUUAAAUACAACCGUAUCUCAGCACGUUAGUAUAAUUAUUAUGUUAAAUUGUCAGAACUACAACUAGGAGAAAUCUAUACUAAGGUUGUUAAGAAAAGGCCAAAUUCAUCUUGGAAUGUGGUCAACUGCAAAAUAAAAAGCAUCUCUUAUAUAGCACUUGUUUCUAAGCUCCUUUCUUCCUAUUCCUGACUUUUUCUCCACUACUUCUGAUAAUUUAGACACAAUCUCGUUACACAGUCCUUUGUUACUGUGUGAAAAACCUACACAAAUGAGAUUCAUUGAUUACACAGAGGAAGAAGUAAAAAUCCCAUCAAAUGCUUAAAGAAAGUGAAUCAAAUGUAUUGUCAUUUUUCUUUAUUGACUUAGUAUUGUUCCCUUCACAAUGAAGGAUAAAAAUGUGAGUUUGAAAUUGUUGUGUCCCUUUAUGUGGUAUAUUGGUUUUCAUGUGGUAGGAAUCUCAGGGGGAAUAUGGUGAUUUAUGCUGGCAGAAGUUCUAGUUGCUUAUUUGAAUGCCAUCCUGCGAUGGUACCUUAGUAGAGACAUAAUGUUUCUAUGUUUUUCAUGCCACUGUGUCUCAUCUGCAAAGCUCAAAUGUCAUUGCCGCUUAGGGAAAGGUUACUGGUGAGAAAUGUUUGAACUUUAAAUGGAUUCGUAAUUUUGAAUAGGAACCUUUUUAUUUAUUUAUUUAUUUAUUUAUAUUUUAUUUUGCGUUGAGCAACAAGUUUAGAUUCAAACACCUCCAAAACUUGAGAGGGUUCAAGUUUGAAUUUAGACCAAAUGCUGUGUCUCUCAAAUCUAUGUCUAAUAUAAGGAUAAUUCAGUGUGUAAAGAAUGCAUGCACAUGCUCAUAGACGCAUGUAUGUUGACACACAUGAAUUUAUCUCACUUCAAGAUGAUAUUGAAAGUAGUAAGCAACUUAUUCCACUUUCAGCAGAAUUUCAUCAGAGUUGAGUAAUUCUCAUAAAAAAGAAUUCAAGGAAAGAAGUUUAAAAUCAAUUUCUUGAGUAGCUAAAGAAGUUACUGAUGGAAAAAGUAAAAGUAAUCAACUGAUAUUUUUUUUGGGGGGGGGAAAUAUGUCUCAUUUACUAGAAGAUUUUUAAUUGUCCAUUAGUCCCUUACCAUUGUUCUGCAUGGAUUUCAAGACAAGAUUUUGAUUUGAAAAGGGAUAUAAUAGAAAGGAGAACCCUUCUUAUGUGGCUAAUGCAAUGUAAGUAAUUUAAAUGUUGGAAGCGUGAAGCUGUGAUUGGCAGGAGGAGGGGAAGAAUGUUGUGUGGGCUGUAUGGCAAAGCAGGGAAUAAAAAUGUGGAAAUGAAGUAGACAUAGAAACAUUCUGGUUCUUUUGGAGAAAAUCACCGUCUGAUUUUUGGUUUUGCAGAAACAAAGACUGGAUGGCCUGGAUGUGAAUCCUGUCUUACCAGCAAAUCCAGUGUUCAGGAUUGUUUGCAUAACCAAUUCCAGCUUUGGCUCACUUCUGUUCUGAAUAAGCAGUUAAGCAGUUUGGGUAUUUUUCAGUUCCCUGUGGGCUGGCAGAGGAAAGAUAUGCAACAGUGAUGUGAUCUGUUUAACUUCUGUUAGCCUAUAUGGAUGCACCUCUCCAAAGGUGGUAAAGUGAAGCCAGCCUCAUUCCCAUUGCUGACCAGUGUGCCAGGCAGAAAAGCUCUGGAGUACUCCUGUCAUGGGGAGAAAAUGUUCAGUGCUUCAAGCACCCAACCCUUCCAUUGCCUUCUUUACCCUUCAAAAUAUCUGCAGAAGUUUUGAGUAGCUUAGAAACAGAUUAGAGCCGUCACGUGCAAACUGAGAGCACUCUGAACCUUGUGUUGUUCCAGCUUGAGGGGGCCUGCAGCUGAUGCAGGAGAGACUGGAGUGACAAGAAAGCAUUUCAAACCUCCCCUAUACUCUGUGAGUGGGUGCUAAUGCUCUGCUGCACCUCAGAUUCUCCCUACAGAAGUCCCCAAAUGUAUAGUUAGCACCCAAAAUCACACCAGCUAGUGCAUCUGACUUUCAUCAGCAGGUUUGUGGCUAUGAUUUAUUUAUUUUUCUUCCAUCUGGAUGUGAUUUUAGAGCAUGAUAGAAGCCCGAAAUGGAGACAACCUUCAGAUUCAUUUUCUCUCACGCUCAUGGACACGUGCAAGAGUAUAUAAAAAUAAUUGACCACAGUGGAAAGGUACAGAGUUUAUCCUUUUAAAAAGGCAGAUAUUUGGUUAAUGCCAGCACUUCAUGCCAGGCCCAGAGGAGAUUGCAUCCCCCCAAUGAAAGCACAAGGUAUGAGAUGGCUCCUGCCCCCAGGAAUUUGCCUUCUCCACUCUUAACCUGCAUGAAAGGAGGGUUUUGUGCCUGCAAAAUGCACAGGGCUGACCAUAAAGCUGAGAGUACACCAGGGAUCUCCAUCUCGAUAUCCUGCAUGAAUGGUGAAAUUUUUCAUUUCUGUUCUCAUAAAUGGAAAGAAUAAAGCUGCUGCAAUCAAGGACCUGCUACUUCUGGUACUCUUGGAAGAAAAAAGCAGGAUUUCUACCUAGGACUUGUUUGCUUUGUGCCUGAGCUGUUUCCAGGCUUGAUUUCUUCUAUAGGUACAAGUAGUGUUAAUGAGGUGUUAAUGUGUAUGUAGGCGAUGCAGUCAUAGAUUUGCCUUUGAUCAGUCGGUGUUCUUUCUUUCUCUCUCUCUCUCUCUUUCUUUUUUUUUUUUUUUUUUUUUAACCUCGAAAAUCUGUUUGCACCAUGAGAGCCUGUUGACUUAACAGAAAUUUCUCCAGGAGCUGAAAGAAACUCUGAAAACAAUGUGAAGUGAAACUCCCACCGACUGCAAAGGGCAAUUUUAGAAAUGCUGAUGAAGAAACAGUUUCACCUUAUUUUUGAGGAUGAAGAGUCACAAACUCCCCAAAUUCAGCUCUGG